Drosophila melanogaster (fruit fly) is the source of this 2572-nucleotide non-coding RNA. Lineage: Eukaryota; Metazoa; Arthropoda; Insecta; Diptera; Drosophilidae. The record is from Ensembl.
UCGGCGGGGAAUGCAGGAAUUCUAGCUUCUAUUGAUAUAUUUUAUAGUUGUUAGAAGUUGCUAAAAAAACUUUUUAUUAUAUUUAUUAGAAUUUGAAAUUGUAAACAACAUUCAAAUAUUUGUUCAAUUUGUCAUAAAUGAUUAAAAAAUCACUAUUUAGCUAGAUAGGAAAUUUAAGGAAGACAUGCAGUUUUUACUGCACCAACCAAUUCGUUAGAUAAUUACUUAUCGAAAUUAGAAUAUUCAUUGGAAACAGGGUGACUAAGGCUACGCCAUGCGAUGAUUUAAAAAAGAGGGGAGAAGAAAGAACAAUAGCUGUAGACAGCAAGAGGAGGAGAAUCGUAAGAAAGUGUUUGCGCCAUGAGUAAUCAAGUUAAAUGGCGCCUGGCCUCAGUUAUCGAAGUGGGAAAUGUGUUAAUCAGCGGGGAGUGUGAAAUUGAGCGGACCCACCGAAAAAGUAAACAAUUAAAUCAGAUGAAAUGCGGCCCCAAAACGGAAGCCCCCCACCUAGUAGUGACUUUCACGCAGAUCUCUCGAUUAUCAUGAAAUUUCCUAUAUGUGAUGUACAUACAUAUGUACAUCAAUUAUUUAACCACAUAUAGUAUAUUGACGUACAUAUGUAUAAGGUCGCUCGCUUGGCGAUAAUUUUGAUAAGCCCAAUGAUACUUUCAGUUUAAAUGUGUUGAUAUCCGAGUUCUUACUCAUGCCCCCCCCAUUGGAAUUCGUUUUCUCUCUUCGGUUUGCUGCUCUUUCCUUGCAAAUAUCAUCAAAAUAAUGCAGUAAUUCACUAUCUUUGCCCUUAAGCACAAUAUGUUUGGUUGAAAAACGGUUGAAAAAGUUGUGCUUUUCAAUUGAAAGGCUUGCGGAAAGGGGGGGGGGUAAGGAAAAGGGGAGAGGCAGCAGAGUGUAAUAUAAAUUGAGUGUCAGCUGAGCAGCUUUAUUAAAUCUACUCAAUAAGCGCAGCGUUGGGGGCUGCCAAUUCCGAUUCCAAUUCAACCGCGACAGUUGCAUUUGAUGGCGGGCCCAUUUAUUUGCGCUAAUAUCGUUCACCCCACUUGAAAUGUCAGCGAACAAACAACGAAGCAGCAACAAAAACAGCCAAUUACUCAGCUGGAAGUCGGAGGAAAGCUGCAGCAGCUCGGAGAUCGGAGAUCAGAGAUCGGUUUUCAUCAUGAUCCAGAAAUUACAGAACACACGCCCCACAAGGUGCAAACAAUUGAAUCAAGUGUAAAAUGUUGGGCUAAAUUUCAAAAUGCAACUGGUGCAAGCUGUUUUCUUGGCUAUGUAAACCAGAAGCAUUUACACUGGUCAACCGGGGGUUUGGACGAAAACAGCUGGGAUACUGAAUGAUAAUAGGGGAUAUCUUUUAAUGGGGAUGAAAAUGGUAGAAUUUUCCUGCACCUUUUAGCGGGCAUUUUCCAAACCGGUUUACGAGGUUUUUCAUUGAGGCAAACAGUUUUCCUUAUUAUCUUUAAGCCUGCAAAUACAGUGGUUACUCACAAACAAAUAUAGUGCAAGGUGCGGUGGCUGCUGAUAAGCUCGAUAAAUGUUUUACAGUGUAAAUGAAAACUACACUAUGUUCUAGGUUCCAAAAAAAUCAUUUACUAAUGUGCAUCAUUUUUUUUUUUAGAAAAAUCCUUUUGAAAUGAUAACAUUUGACAUUAUGAAUUAAUUUAGUACAGUAAACCCUAUAUAUCAGUUCACUUAAUAAAGGUGUAGGUUGCAUAGCCAGUCUUUGCUGUACUUUCCAGCCUACCACUCGUUGCCUUAGUCAUCUUGGCCCGAUUCAUUGGCCAAUCAGCCGCGCUGGAGGAAAACUUCCACGGCAUUGUUUUUCGCAAAUGAAUGGCAAUGAAAUGAAAAGUACACACGCAGACGGUGAAAUAUAUCAUCGUUCCCAUAUGCCGUGCAUAUAAAUCGGCGAGUGGAAAUUUAAUUGCAGAAGGUUGCAACGCAGCGAGGCAUUCAGUUUCACUGCAUUUGCCGCAGAGGUCGGGUCACCAAAAACCAUACAUACAUCAUAUAUGUAUGUAUGUAUGUAUGCAUGUAUGUUUGUAUAUGCGAUACGAUGGCGCCUCGUCGCUUGAAUGGUUUUUCCUGCAAAGUGGAAACCGCUGCGCUAUCAACAAACAUGUUUCCAUUGCGGCAAUGGGAUCCGAUUCGAUCCACUUGUUGCAUCGAUCCAAAAGAUCUGAAAAGUGCGUGCCAGCAGAUGAGAAACGAGCACUGAGUACCGAGAAUCUAGAAUCGAGUGUAUCCGCACAGUCAAACCGACAUUUGGUUUCAAUUUACGUUCAAUUCCCUUAUCGCCAACGAAUUAUUGGACACAGACAUUGCAUAAUGCACGAUCUACGAACAGACGGAUUUGUUUAGCCCCAAGCAGCCACAUAAACAUUGGUUUUCCCAGAUAAACAGAGCUGCAUGGAGUCUACUUACUCCAUUCCAUGCAUAUUUAUAGUCGAAAUAUGGGAUAGUUGGGGACUUUAGACUUUUAUGUUAAACUGUUAGCUAGAAUAACAUGGUCUUAUAAUAACGAGUGAUCUUAAAAACAAAUAAAUUACAUUUUUCUAAU